UAGUAUUACUGAGGUACAUAUCUAAAAACAUGGUAAUAAUAAUAAUAAUAAAAACAGUUACAAAGAGAGCAGUUUUAUUGGUUAAAUAUACAGGAUGUUAUAGGUUUAACAGGAAAGUAAUUCCCAGGAGUUGGUUAGUCAACAUCACAGGUGCCGCACAAACACGCACUGAAGAAAGCAGUCUUAGCUUUCCCUCUCCCAUAUGUGAAUGACGACGUUAUUUAGAAAAACCACAAGCACACUCACUCACUCACACACACACACACACUUUCUGACACCCAGUGAUCACAGCAUAUUCAGUCCUUGUAUAUAUAUUAUGGCUUGAAAAUGUGUUUCCUCACAACCACCCUCUGCAUGAUUCGAUAUAAUACAUCACAGCUGUACACAUACAUUUAUACAUAACGUAUCAUACACAUCCAAACUGACCCAGAAACAUCCACACAAGCGUUCAAAACUGCCUAUCUCCAGGCAAAGCUGAGCCCCGCCCCUCUCUAUGACAUCAUAGUCCACUCCAGGAAAUGGGUGAAUCUCAAGAAAUGCUGACGGAAAUUUUCACGUCAAAAAUCAAAAGAAAAAAAUGCAUAAAAAAAAAUACAAUAAAAAUAAAAAUACGCUAUUAUUAUGACCAUUAGAAUUUUUUUCUUUGUGACAUUAUUUUAAUAUUUUCGUUACUGCCAUACGAAAAAAAAAAAAUCCUAUUCUCAUUCCUGUAAUGCAAAAAAAAAAAAAAAAAAAAGAAAAUCUUAAUACUGUAACAGCAAUGAAAAUCAUCCUGAUUUGACAAAUUUCAUAAGAUUAGCCUUACUAAAAAAUUUAGUUCACAGCAGAAUUUCUGUGUAAAUCAUUCAUAAAAAUAACAAAAAUUUGUUUUUAUGUAAACUGUUGCAUUCAAUUUGACAAUGGGCCUCCAACAUGAAAUACGAACAGAACAUAUUUCUGUGAUUCAUUAGAGAAAAAAAAAACACCAGUAUUUAAUUAAAUGUGACAAAUUACGUAGGACACACGGACCAAUUUCUGUGAGAAUCGUUUGUAAAGAAAACAUUAUGUAAACUGUUGCAUUCAUUUCAACAAAUUAACCAAGACUGGCCUUACAAACGAUUUACGGAUUUCACAGCCAAAUUUCUGUGAAUCGUUCAUAAAAAAAAAACAAAAACAUUAUGUAAACUGUCGCAUUCAAUUUGACAAAUUACGCAAGAUUGAGCUAAUUAAUGAUUUACAGGUUCACGAACCAAUUUCUGAGUGAAUCGUUCGUAAAACAUUUUUUAUGUAAACUGUCGCAUUCAAUUUGACAAAUUAUGCAAGACUGGGCUAAUUAACGAUUUACAGGUUCACGGACGAAUUUCUGAGUGAAUCGUUCGGAAAAUUCAUUUUUAAAGUAAACUGACGCUUUCAAUUUGACAAAUUACGCAAAACUGGACAAACUAACGAUUUACAGGUUCACGGAUGAAUUUCUGAGUGAAUCGUUGGGAAAAUGUUUUUUUAUGUAAACUGACGCUUUCAAUUUGACAAAUUAUGCAAGACUGGGCUAAUUAACGAUUUACAGGUUCACGGAUGAAUUUCUGAGUGAAUCGUUGGGAAAAUGUUUUUUUAUGUAAACUGACGCUUUCAAUUUGACAAAUUACGCAAGACUGGGCUAAUUAACGAUUUACAGGUUCACGGAUGAAUUUCUGAGUGAAUUGUUGGGAAAAUGUUUUUUAUGUAAACUGUCGCAUUCAAUUUGACAAAUUACGCAAGACUGGGCUAAUUAACAAUUUACAGGUUCACGAACCAAUUUCUGAGUGAAUCUUUCGUAAAACAUUUUUUAUGUAAACUGUCGCAUUCAAUUUGACAAAUUACGCAAGACUGGGCUAAUUAACGAUUUACAGGUUCACGGAUGAAUUUCUGAGUGAAUCGUUGGGAAAAUGUUUUUUUAUGUAAACUGACGCUUUCAAUUUGACAAAUUACGCAAGACUGGGCUAAUUAACGAUUUACAGGUUCACGGAUGAAUUUCUGAGUGAAUCGUUGGGAAAAUGUUUUUUUAUGUAAACUGACGCUUUCAAUUUGACAAAUUACGCAAGACUGGGCUAAUUAACGAUUUACAGGUUCACGAACCAAUUUCUGAGUGAAUCUUUCGUAAAACAUUUUUUAUGUAAACUGUCGCAUUCAAUUUGACAAAUUACGCAAGACUGGGCUAAUUAACAAUUUACAGGUUCACGGACAAAUUUCUGAGUGAAUCAUUCAUAAAAAUCAUUUUUAUGUAAACUGUCGCAUUCAAUUUCACAAAUUACAUAAGACUGGCCUAACUAACGAUUUAAGGUUCACAGACGAAUUUCUGAGUGAAUCGUCCGUAAAAAUUUUUAUGUAAACUGUCGCUUUCAAUUUGACAAAUUAAACAAGACUGGGUUAAUUAAGGAU
Myxocyprinus asiaticus (Chinese sucker) is the source of this 2394-nucleotide long non-coding RNA. RefSeq lists it as uncharacterized. The transcript has 3 exons. The record is from RefSeq and is a predicted model, not a curated record. NCBI's taxonomy places the organism in Eukaryota, Metazoa, Chordata, Actinopteri, Cypriniformes, Catostomidae.